CCUACGGGAGGCAGCAGUGAGGAAUAUUGGUCAAUGGGAGAGAUCCUGAACCAGCCAAGCCGCGUGAGGGAAGACGGCCCUAUGGGUUGUAAACCUCUUUUGUCGGAGAACAAAACCCGGGACGUGUCCCGGACUGCGUGUAUCCGAAGAAAAAGCAUCGGCUAACUCCGUGCCAGCAGCCGCGGUAAUACGGAGGAUGCGAGCGUUAUCCGGAUUUAUUGGGGUUAAAGGGUGCGUAGGCGGUCCGUUAAGUCAGCGGGAAAAUUGCGGGGCUCAACCCCGUCGAGCCGUUGAAACUGGCAGACUUGAGUUGGCGAGAAGUACGCGGAAUGCGCGGUGUAGCGGUGAAAUGCAUAGAUAUCGCGCAGAACUCCGAUUGCGAAGGCAGCGUACCGGCGCCAGACUGACGCUGAGGCACGAAAGCGUGGGGAUCGAACAGGAUUAGAUACCCUAGUAGUC
This 459-nucleotide ribosomal RNA is filed under the name uncultured bacterium. Its description in RNAcentral is "partial 16S ribosomal RNA". It matches the Rfam family "Bacterial small subunit ribosomal RNA", at positions 338 to 795 of the family's 1533-position model. The record is from RNAcentral.